GUACUACUCCCUCCGUUCCGAAUUACUUGUCGCAGGUAUGGAUGUAUCUAGAUGUAUUUUAAUUCUAGAUAUAUCCAUUUAUAUGACGAGUAAUUUGGAAUGGAGAGAGUAGUAU
This is a non-coding RNA of Triticum aestivum (bread wheat), 115 nucleotides long. Lineage: Eukaryota; Viridiplantae; Streptophyta; Magnoliopsida; Poales; Poaceae. The record is from Rfam.